RNAcentral lists this ribosomal RNA (492 nucleotides) under uncultured bacterium. RNAcentral describes it as "partial 16S ribosomal RNA". It matches the Rfam family "Bacterial small subunit ribosomal RNA", at positions 29 to 507 of the family's 1533-position model. The record is from RNAcentral.
AGUGAACGCUGGCGGCAGGCCUAACACAUGCAAGUCGAACGGCAGCACAGUAAGUGCUUGCUCUUACGGGUGGCGAGUGGCGGACGGGUGAGGUAUACAUCGGAAUCUACUUUUUCGUGUGGGUUAACGUAGGGAAACUUACGCUAAUACCGCAUACGAUCUACGGGUGAAAGCAGGGGAUAUUCGGACCUUGCGCGAUUGAAUGAGCCGAUGUCGGUGUGGCUAGUUGGGGGGGUAAAGGCCCACCAAGGCGAGGAUCCGUAGCUGGUGUGAGGGGAGGGUAGGCCACACGGGAGCUGGAACACGGUCCAGACUCCUACGGGAGGCAGCAGUGGGGAAUAUUGGACAAUGGGCGGAAACCUGGUCCAGCCAGACCACGUGGGUGAAGGAGGCCUUCGGGUUGUAAAGCCCUUUUGUUGGGAAAGAAAAGCAGCAGGUUAAUACCCCGCUGUUCUGACGGUACCCGAAGAAUAAGCACCGGCUAACUACGUG